AAUACACUUUAACACCGAUAAAAUUUACCUUGUUUAUAUGACUGACACAGUGUCAUCUACAAACCCACAAAGGACUUUCGCCAGAAUCUGGCCUAGCCAGGCAGGAGCAGCAGGUGAUAGGAGCAAGGUUGGGAACUAAGGAGUAUCCCAUGUGGCACCAGGAAUAAUGGGGAGCUCUGUGUAACUGCCUGUACUUGACGUGAGAAGUGCCUUUGUGGUUCUGGCUGCCUGUACUGACCAUCUGGUCGGCAGGCACUGGGCUACACGCUUUCCUUGCAUUACGUCAUUUCCUUCUCCAGGAGGCAGUAGUGGUACCUAUUUCACAAAGAAAUCCAAAGCUCAGCGCAUUCAGGUCACUACCCAAGCGCACAUUGUAAGGAAAGAGUUGGGUCUGGGGCUUUCUCUGACUCCAUGGGCUCUCCUUACUCAAAGGGACCGUGUGUGGUGGACCUUCGCCCUCUGAUGCUUAUGUGUUUCAUGUUUUUCAUCCUAAAUUUGGCACUGCAUGUUUCUCUCCUGAGAAACAGACACCAUUUCAUUUUGCUGCUAAAAUCCCUUACCUCUGAAAUAUUAGGCUUGUCUACAAGUCCUAUGAACUGUGCACUGUACACCAGCCUCCUUAAAGACCUGCAGCCCAUGCGUCACCUGCUCAGCCUCACAAGCAAGCACUCUCUGCAGCCGCAUUAGUUUGCCUAGGUUUUUCACCAGGGAUCUUUAAUGCCUUAUCCUGGUCAUAGACUGUAAGAGAAUUUCCAAUUCUUAAAUUCCCUAUACACUUUGACUGAUUUAUCUUGGAGUCUAUAACUUUUCUCAUCCUGGUCCAUUUCUCUCUUUUAUAUUUGCUCUUAGUUAAGUUUUUGAGCUACCUCUCCAUUUUCUUUGGGAUCAUUGUGGUUCUUGAACGCUGCUAGGAUAUCUCUUUAAUGUUAGAUUCCAAAAUAUAUGCCCAGAAUUUGUGAGGAAUUCCUCCAUAGACAAAAGAGAGCUGUUCAUUUGCUUUUUCAGUGAGUGCCAUUGGAUUACUCCCUGUGACAAGGAGCAGCCAUGGUUUUUCCUAUAAAUAACUUUCUACUGCUUCCUUCAUUAAAGACUAGUGGCCAUUUGAGAAGUGAGACAGUUCCAAUCAGGACUGGAGUUUGUCUUUUUCUGUUUACAUUUGGCAAAGAGUGGUACGCCAUCAGGGCAGAGUGCAAAGCAGAAGAGGGCGUAAGAGCCAGGAUGGGAGUGGAGCUUCGUACCCCCAGCAAUGUCUGCUGUGGGGCAGCAUCCCUGCCUUGGUGCAUUUACCAGCUGCGUGAAGCUCUCCAAAAGCAAGCAUCCAAGGCUGACACUGCCUCAGGAGAGGAAGGCCAGGUCACACCGUUCCUUUUGCCCCAUAGUGGGCUAUUUAUUUCCUGCACCCAGUGUGAGUGGAGUGAGGAGAAAUGAACAAGCAAACGUGCAAUUUUGUUUGGCCCAAGUCAUUUCAACAUCUGUAAUGCAACCAAGAAUUCAUCCAUCACCAAAUAAAGUCAUUACUGAGGCAGCUGUUAUCCAGACAUGGCUCUCAGCUGGGGCGGUGGGAGAGCAAUUUAUCUCUUAGCAGCAGCUUGCCAACAUCUAACUAGCGAUUUACAGGGGAGGAGAAAUCCUCAAAAUAUAAGGUUCAGGAAGACAUGUUGAAAACGGCUCUUCAAACUCUUUUGAAAUUAUGUCUAUUGUUUUUCAAUUUAGAAAAUACUCAUGGAAAAUUCAGAAGCCUGUAUACAGGAAAAAAAUGACUUUAAGCAAGAUAACCAUCAUUCAUCUUUUAAUAUAUUCCCCUUCCAGGCAUUUCUCCAUAUAUUAGAUAAAUAGCACGACAUCUACUCGGAGCUGUUUUCCUAGGGAUGUCAGCGUCAGCGUUUGUUGCGAGAAGUCUCGGCAGCCCCGUUUUCCUCUCUCACCCCUGGAAUCCCCUCCAGAUGUGGUUAGUUCACAGCGUGUUCAGCUCAAAGUGCCUUGAUGCGAGGUAAGUCCCAGCACAUUUCUCGGGAGCCCAGCAAUGCCGUGGCGUCUGAGGGUCGGCCUGAAUCAGAGAGCGCGGAAGACUGAGUGUCUAAUCGGAUUAGUGGGAGAAAAGGCUCUGAACCGUGUCCCCUGGACUUGAAGCCUCCUGGAUUAAGAGCAAUAACCUGUGAUUUGUGCAGCCUCUGCUCCAUUGUGGAAGGACAAAGACAAAAGAUCCAUCGUCUCUCAGAUCUUCUGGUCCCCCUUUGUCUUUUUAGUGCUGCACCUGCAGUACAUGGAGGCUCCCAGGCUAGGGGUGGAAUGGGAAUUGCAGUCGCCAGUCUACACCUCAGCCACGGCAACACCAGAUCCCCGAGCUGCCUCUGCGACCUACCCAACAACUCUCGGCAAUGCCGGCUCCUUAACCCACUGAGCGAGACCAGGGAUCGAACCUGAGUCCUCAUGGACACUAUUUGGAUUCGUUACCGCUGAGCCAAGAUGGGAAGAGCAAGACAGGGACUCUGAAGACCACCUAUCCAGACCCUCUUCAGUCAAUGGAGACGCUGACUGUCCACCUCUCUGCCUAAGAGGACAUCACACUCAGAAAAGUGUGUGAAGCGGGGUGGCACUGGACAGAGCCAGUGUUGUGGAAUUAAUUCUGGAAUCUGCUCAUCUGCCUGGGUCCAGUGCUAACCAACCUCUUCCCAGCUCUCAGUUUCCCAGCUCCUUUCCAUUCCUCUGCCUUUGACAUAGCACACGAGCUCUCUGCAAACUAGUGUUUUCAUGAAUUCCCAGCACCAAAAUAAGGAACGUGAAACCCUUGCUUAUUUCUUCAUGAGCUUCUACUGUACAGCACAGGGAACUAUAUCGUCUCUUGGGAUAGAUCACGAUGGAAGAUAAUAUAAGAAAAAGAAUGCGUGUGUAUUUAUGACUGAAUCACAUUGCUAUACAGAAGAAAUUGGCACAACCUUAUAAAUCAACUAUACUUAAAAAAAAAAAAAA
This 2970-nucleotide long non-coding RNA is filed under the name Sus scrofa (pig). RNAcentral describes it as "lncRNA (ENSSSCG00035040357.1)". The record is from RNAcentral. Lineage: Eukaryota; Metazoa; Chordata; Mammalia; Artiodactyla; Suidae.